Molecule: ribosomal RNA, 400 nt
Filed under: uncultured bacterium
Lineage: Bacteria
Description: bacterial SSU rRNA
Rfam family: Bacterial small subunit ribosomal RNA
Source: RNAcentral
AAUGAACGCUGGCGGCGCGCCUAAUACAUGCAAGUCGAGCGAGAAGACGUAGCAAUACGUUUGUAAAGCGGCGAACGGGUGAGGAAUACAUGGGUAACCUACCCUCGAGUGGGGAAUAACUAGCCGAAAGGUUAGCUAAUACCGCGUACGCUCCUUGGACUUCGGUUCAGGGAGGAAAGCGAUACCGUGGGUAUCGCGCUCUUGGUUGGGCUCAUGUCCUAUCAGCUUGUUGGUGAGGAACGGCUCACCAAGGCUUCGACGGGUAGCUGGUCUGAGAGGACGAUCAGCCACACUGGCACUGCGACACGGGCCAGACUCCUACGGGAGGCAGCAGUAAGGAAUAUUGCGCAAUGGGCGAAAGCCUGACGCAGCGACGCCGCGUGAGGGAUGACGGCCUCGG